Molecule: long non-coding RNA, 1062 nt
Filed under: Mus musculus (house mouse)
Lineage: Eukaryota; Metazoa; Chordata; Mammalia; Rodentia; Muridae
Description: long non-coding RNA chr9:61052534-61053596
Source: RNAcentral
GGGUCACUCCCCAGCACCACAGACACCUAUGUUUAUGGAGUGGAAUUAAGCCAGCAUGGCAGCAUUUGAAAAUGGCCUACCAGGGUAUGGGGAGGCCAGUGCAAUCUUCCAGAGGGCCUCUGGGUAGGGGAAGGGGGUUCUCUACCAGGGGUCGUGAGUCAGUCCCUCUUUCCAUGCUGUGCCGGCCUCAAGUCUGAGCUUUGCUUUUCCACAGGAAUGCACAAGUGAGGCCCCAAGGGUCACAGCUGUCACAGCCUCUGAUGCUGCUCAUCGCGGCUUUGUCGCCUGACCGGAGGACCUCAAGAGCGCGCUCCUUACAUGCACCUGUGCGUGGUUUUGACAGCUGUGGAAGGCGCAUCUCCUUUCGACCCAACCUUUAACUUUUUGUUUCUGACCUUUUUGUUGUGCCUGUGGUGACAACAUGUGUUGCUUAAUGAGCCAUUUUAAAGUGCACACAGCUCAGGGGCAUGUAGUAUGUUCACCGUGUGUGCAGCCACCAAUUCUCUGGUUAUACAACAUUUUUUUUUUUUUAGAGACAAAAGACCCAACGUGAAGGACGUAAGGAGGAUUUAUUUUGACUCCUGGUUUUGGUGGUUUCAGAUCACAGUUCUUAUCUCUAUUAAUUCUGGACCAUGGUAAGGCUGAACAUCAUUAUGGCAGGAGUGUGUGGCAGAGGAGGCUCAUCUAAUGAUGGGAAGGGGGAGGGGAGAGAGAGAGAGAGAGAGAGAGAGAGAGAGAGAGAGAGAGAGAGAGAGAGAGAGAGAGAGAAUGCCCUGGACAAGAUACCCCAGGUCCUACCUUCAGUGAUGAAUGUCCUACUGAUUCUAACCCCUAUAGUUUCCUUAGCCUCUUAAAUAGCAACACCACGUAGGGUCAAGGUCAACGUGCAAUACCAGAGCCUGUGGUUUCCUAUUCAAAUUCCAGGGCUUCCCCUCUGUGCAGCCUCUCUUUCCUUAUCCAGUCCUCUCCAGGUUUCUCCUGGCGCCCUUGCUUCAAGCCUUUGGUUUCCCAGCAAGGACCUCAGACAGAGAGAAGCUGUAUACAACAGGCUCACUUCUCUCA